UUGAACGCUGGCGGCAUGCUUUACACAUGCAAGUCGAACGGCAGCACGGGGGCAACCCUGGUGGCGAGUGGCGAACGGGUGAGUAAUAUAUUGGAACAUACCCGGUAGUGGGGGAUAACGUACCGAAAGGUAAGCUAAUACCGCAUACGUCCUGAGGGGGAAAGCGGGGGAUCGCAAGACCUCUCGCUUUCGGAGCGGCCGAUAUCGGAUUAGCUAGUUGGUGAGGUAAAGGCUCACCAAGGCGACGAUCCGUAGCUGGUCUGAGAGGACGACCAGCCACACUGGAACUGAGACACGGUCCAGACUCCUACGGGAGGCAGCAGUGGGGAAUUUUGGACAAUGGGCGAAAGCCUGAUCCAGCCAUGCCGCGUGAGUGAAGAAGGCCUUCGGGUUGUAAAGCUCUUUCAGCAGGAACGAAAUGGC
RNAcentral lists this ribosomal RNA (423 nucleotides) under uncultured bacterium. Its description in RNAcentral is "bacterial SSU rRNA". It matches the Rfam family "Bacterial small subunit ribosomal RNA", at positions 30 to 454 of the family's 1533-position model. The record is from RNAcentral.